This 253-nucleotide ribosomal RNA is filed under the name uncultured bacterium. RNAcentral describes it as "partial 16S ribosomal RNA". It matches the Rfam family "Bacterial small subunit ribosomal RNA", at positions 524 to 776 of the family's 1533-position model. The record is from RNAcentral.
GACGAACCUUGCUAGCGUUAUUCGGAAUUACUGGGCUUAAAGAGCGUGUAGGCGGCCAUACAGGUCCGUUGUGAAAACUCGAGGCUCAACCUCGAGACGCCGAUGGAAACCGUCUGGCUAGAGUCCGGAAGAGGAGAGUGGAAUUCCUGGUGUAGCGGUGAAAUGCGCAGAUAUCAGGAAGAACACCCGUGGCGAAGGCGGCUCUCUAGUACGGUACUGACGCUGAGACGCGAAAGCGUGGGGAGCGAACAGG